RNAcentral lists this small RNA (575 nucleotides) under Pongo abelii (Sumatran orangutan). RNAcentral's name for it is "retained intron". Lineage: Eukaryota; Metazoa; Chordata; Mammalia; Primates; Hominidae. The record is from RNAcentral.
GCGGCAGCCCCUCUGCCUGCUCCUGCCAUGGUGCCGUGGCCCUGCUGGGCGGAUGGAGCAGGAUCCCAAGCCGCCCCGUCUGCGGCUCUGGGCCCUGCUCCCCUGGCUGCCCAGGAAGCAGCGGCCCAGGAUCAGCCAGACCUCUCUUCCUGUCCCUGGCCCUGGCUCUGGCCCCCAGCGGGACUCGGAUGAGGGCGUCCUCAAGGAGAUCUCCAUCACGCACCACGUCAAGGCUGGCUCUGAGAAGGCUGAUCCAUCCCAUUUCGAGCUCCUCAAGGUUCUGGGCCAGGGAUCCUUUGGCAAAGUCUUCCUGGUGCGGAAAGUCACCCGGCCUGACAGUGGGCACCUGUAUGCUAUGAAGGUGCUGAAGAAGGCGACGCUGAAAGUACGUGACCGCGUCCGGACCAAGAUGGAGAGAGACAUCCUGGCUGAUGUAAAUCACCCAUUCGUGGUGAAGCUGCACUAUGGUAAAGCUGCAGGCCCUGCCUGAGCUCCUACCCCACCCAUCCUUCGCCCUUGCCUGUGGUCUGUACGCUGUCCCACCGCCUGCCUGGCAGGCCAAGGGAGCCAGGCUG